RNAcentral lists this microRNA (23 nucleotides) under Strongylocentrotus purpuratus (purple sea urchin). Its description in RNAcentral is "spu-miR-4851". Lineage: Eukaryota; Metazoa; Echinodermata; Echinoidea; Camarodonta; Strongylocentrotidae. The record is from miRBase by way of RNAcentral.
UGAUUACUUGCUUUGGAGUUCUU